RNAcentral lists this ribosomal RNA (253 nucleotides) under uncultured bacterium. Its description in RNAcentral is "partial 16S ribosomal RNA". It matches the Rfam family "Bacterial small subunit ribosomal RNA", at positions 524 to 776 of the family's 1533-position model. The record is from RNAcentral.
UACGAAGGGGGCUAGCGUUGCUCGGAAUGACUGGGCGUAAAGGGCGCGUAGGCGGCACACACAGUCAGGCGUGAAAUUCCUGGGCUUAACCUGGGGGCUGCGUUUGAGACGUGUGAGCUAGAGGAUGGAAGAGGCUCGUGGAAUUCCCAGUGUAGAGGUGAAAUUCGUAGAUAUUGGGAAGAACACCGGUGGCGAAGGCGGCGAGCUGGUCCAUUACUGACGCUGAGGCGCGAAAGCGUGGGGAGCAAACAGG